AAUGUUUAUUUGGGUUUAGUAUUCUAAUGUUAUAUAGAGUUAAUUACAGGUAGAUACUCUCACUGGACACUGACUUUAUUAAUGUUUAUUUGGGUUUAGUAUUCUAAUGUUAUAUAGAGUUAAUUACAGGUAGACACUCUCACUGAUCACGGACACUGACUUUAUGUUUAUUUGGGUAUAGUAUUCUAAUGUUAUAUAGAAUUUGUUACAGGUAGACACUCUCACUGAUCACUGACUUUAUUAAUGUUUAUUUGGGUUUAGUAUUCUAAUGUUAUAUAGAGUUAAUUACAGGUAGACACUCUCACUGAUCACUGACUUUAUUAAUGUUUAUUUGGGUUUAAUAUUCUAAUGUUAUAUAGAGUUAAUUACAGGUAGACACUCUCACUGAUCACUGACUUUAU
Astyanax mexicanus (Mexican tetra) is the source of this 401-nucleotide long non-coding RNA. RefSeq lists it as uncharacterized. The record is from RefSeq and is a predicted model, not a curated record. Lineage: Eukaryota; Metazoa; Chordata; Actinopteri; Characiformes; Acestrorhamphidae. The transcript is spliced from 3 exons.